Molecule: ribosomal RNA, 253 nt
Filed under: uncultured bacterium
Lineage: Bacteria
Description: partial 16S ribosomal RNA
Rfam family: Bacterial small subunit ribosomal RNA
Source: RNAcentral
GACAGAGAGGGCAAGCGUUAUUCUGCAGUACUGGGUGUAAAGGGUAAGUAGGUGGCUAAAAAAACCUCCGGUUAAAGCUUUGAGAAGAACUGAAGAUAAUAAGGAGCCGAUUUUUGAGCUAGAGUUAUCCAGGGGUUAGGAGAAUUUCAGAAGGAAGGAUCAAAUCUGCAGAUUUCUGAAGGAAGACCAAAGGCGGAGGCACCUUUCUAGGGAUAACUGACACUGAGGUACGAGAGUAUGGGUAUCAAACGGG